This 111-nucleotide ribosomal RNA is filed under the name Scophthalmus maximus (turbot). Lineage: Eukaryota; Metazoa; Chordata; Actinopteri; Pleuronectiformes; Scophthalmidae. The record is from RNAcentral.
GCUUACGGCCACACCGCCUGGUAUCACGCUUUGAUCUCGGAAGAUAAGGUAGGUUGGGCCUGGUUAGUACUUGGAUGGGAGACCGCCUGGGAAUACCAGGUGCUGUAAGCU